GCCUUCGUCUUACCCUGCAGUGUUUGGGUGCUGGUUUGGUCUCUAAUACUGCCGGGUAAUGAUGGAGGC
Molecule: microRNA precursor, 69 nt
Organism: Cavia porcellus (domestic guinea pig)
Lineage: Eukaryota; Metazoa; Chordata; Mammalia; Rodentia; Caviidae
Rfam family: mir-8/mir-141/mir-200 microRNA precursor family
About the family: The bounds of the precursors are predicted based on conservation and base pairing and are not generally known.
Source: Rfam